Molecule: long non-coding RNA, 666 nt
Organism: Esox lucius (northern pike)
Lineage: Eukaryota; Metazoa; Chordata; Actinopteri; Esociformes; Esocidae
Source: Ensembl
UUGGGAACUGUUGGGCUAGAACGUACUAACGGACUGGUUUUUGUUUCAUCCUUCCCAUCAAACUGUCACACCGGACAACCUGCCAAACGGCUUCUCCUCUGAACGUGCUGGGGCCCGCCCGCUUGUGAUACUGACGUGUUAUGGAGUUAAUGUCCUGGAACUGACCCGUGACAGACUGUGGGGAUGCAGGAUGUUGCAGAAUUACUCACCCCACAAGGACUUCUUCACAUCGGUUGGUGUCACAAUCUGGAAUGAAAAAACAUUUAUACAGCCUGAACUUUCUCCCUGAUUGGUUUUAGAAAGCUGUUUGGUCAUUGUGGUGUGGUUGCUUGGACGUUCUCUGCCGUACUCGGGAGCCUGGGCUGUGUCCCCAGAUUUUGACACAGAUGGACUAUUUAAUAUAUUGUGUUAUUUCUGAAUGCAUUUGAUCUCACCACAGUUUAUUUGAGCAAAGCAAAGGGGUGAAAACUUAUGCAAUAUGUUUUUUUUGUGUAAUGAAUGCAUUUUUCCUAACAUCAAUACUAUUUAAUACUCUUUGUAGAUCAAUAACAGAACAAAACAAAUUUAGCUCACAUUGUAGCACUACAAAAUGUGCAAAAGUCCACUAUAUAUUUCAUACAUAGUUCUCCUUGACUUAUCUGAAUAAAUAAAUGUUGGGGCAGACCA